This 486-nucleotide ribosomal RNA is filed under the name uncultured bacterium. RNAcentral's name for it is "bacterial SSU rRNA". It matches the Rfam family "Bacterial small subunit ribosomal RNA", at positions 28 to 507 of the family's 1533-position model. The record is from RNAcentral.
GAUGAACGCUAGCGGGAGGCUUAACACAUGCAAGUCGAGGGGCAGCAUAGGGUAGCAAUACUCUGAUGGCGACCGGCAAACGGGUGAGUAACGCGUAUGCAACCUACCCUGUACAGGGGGAUAACCCGGAGAAAUUCGGACUAAUAUCCCGUAAUAAUAUCCGGAGGCAUCUUUGGAUAUUUAAAGUUCCGACGGUACGGGAUGGGCAUGCGUAACAUUAGCUGGUUGGUAAGGUAACGGCUUACCAAGGCUAUGAUGUUUAGGGGUCCUGAGAGGGUGGUCCCCCACACUGGUACUGAGACACGGACCAGACUCCUACGGGAGGCAGCAGUGAGGAAUAUUGGUCAAUGGGCGCAAGCCUGAACCAGCCAUCCCGCGUGCAGGAAGACGGCCCUAUGGGUUGUAAACUGCUUUUCCAGGGAGAGAAACUUACGCACGUGUUGCGUGACUGACGGUACCUGGGAAUAAGCAUCGGCUAACUCCGUG